Molecule: ribosomal RNA, 445 nt
Filed under: uncultured bacterium
Lineage: Bacteria
Description: partial 16S ribosomal RNA
Rfam family: Bacterial small subunit ribosomal RNA
Source: RNAcentral
GUGAGGAAUAUUGGUCAAUGGGCGAGAGCCUGAACCAGCCAAGUCGCGUGAAGGAUGAAGGUUUUAUGAAUUGUAAACUUCUUUUGCAGGGGAAUAAAGUACGGUACGUGUACCGUUUUGUAUGUACUCUGCGAAUAAGGAUCGGCUAACUCCGUGCCAGCAGCCGCGGUAAUACGGAGGAUCCAAGCGUUAUCCGGAUUUAUUGGGUUUAAAGGGUGCGCAGGCGGGUUGAUAAGUCAGCGGUGAAAGUUUGCAGCUUAACUGUAAAAAUGCCGUUGAAACUGUCGGACUUGAGUGUAAAUGAGGUAGGCGGAAUGCGUGGUGUAGCGGUGAAAUGCAUAGAUAUCACGCAGAACUCCGAUUGCGAAGGCAGCUUACUAAGCUACAACUGACACUGAAGCACGAAAGCGUGGGGAUCAAACAGGAUUAGAUACCCUGGUAGUCC